Pelobates cultripes (western spadefoot toad) is the source of this 95-nucleotide non-coding RNA. The record is from the annotation of a GenBank genome assembly. Lineage: Eukaryota; Metazoa; Chordata; Amphibia; Anura; Pelobatidae.
AUUUGGAUGUUAGAGGAAGGGGAUAGAGGGAGAAAGUGCAUUUUUACAUCCAGCACUUUCUCCCUCCAUCCCCUUCCUCUCUUUCUUCUCUAAGU